UCUUUCAUUUUUCAUGGGUGUCAAGAACAAACGAUCGACAUGUUCCUGUCGUGCACGGACUGUCUGUCAAAGGCGAUGCUCGGUUUUCGUGGGUCCUUAUCGUGUGAAGCACUGGAGUCAGCAUGGUGGCCGUCUAUAUGAAUAAUGCCACCAAGCUAACCUGUUCUACGCCAACUUAGGUCACGGGAAAGUCCGUAGUUUGCUGGGCACAGCAUGGGCAGCUGUGCUAAGCGAAGAGGGUUCGAAACGACCCUUCGGACCAACCUGGGUCACUGUUUAUGUCAUGUGGACCUGCGUCUUGCUGCCUGACGUGCGGAACGGGUGGCGAGCUCGGCCUUCUAGCACGAUGGUGCCUGGGAGCCUCCACUGCGGAUCUGGUGGCCAGCUGAUCUUGCGACCUGGUAUCUCAACGUCAAUCCAGCUGCUCUACCUUCAUGAUGUUGCUGCGUUGCUUCUGUUGCUGCGCGCCCCGUAGACCUGGUGGCAAGCUGUUCUUGUGACCUCCUCGGCUGCUGAAAAGAUACAGCAUGCGCUAAGGAAUCACAGAGGAACGUGCUCAUCGUAAGUGGCGAUGAUGGCGAGGACCUCCCCACCACGGACUUGGAACUGCAAUCCCUCGAUCGGGAGCAACCUGCUGCCGGACCGCCGAACAGCCGCUGAGCCAGGCUGGAGAAGUUCACGUC
This 683-nucleotide long non-coding RNA is filed under the name Dermacentor andersoni. Its description in RNAcentral is "uncharacterized LOC126539177". The record is from RNAcentral. Lineage: Eukaryota; Metazoa; Arthropoda; Arachnida; Ixodida; Ixodidae.